This 119-nucleotide ribosomal RNA is filed under the name Pogona vitticeps (central bearded dragon). Lineage: Eukaryota; Metazoa; Chordata; Lepidosauria; Squamata; Agamidae. The record is from RNAcentral.
UUAUGUAAUCAUACCUCAUGCAAUGCAUCAGAUCUCAUCUGAGUUCAGAAGCUAAACAUGGUUGUACCUGAUUAGUACGUGGAAAGGAGAUCACCAGGGAAUACCGGGGAUCUCUAGGU